UGUACACGUAGCUCAAUCGGUAGAGCAGCGGUCUCCAAAGCCGCCGGUUCCAGGUUCGACUCCUGGCGUGUAUGCAAC
Molecule: transfer RNA, 78 nt
Filed under: Mycobacterium phage Jsquared
Lineage: Duplodnaviria; Heunggongvirae; Uroviricota; Caudoviricetes
Description: tRNA-Trp
Rfam family: tRNA
About the family: Transfer RNA (tRNA) molecules are approximately 80 nucleotides in length. Their secondary structure includes four short double-helical elements and three loops (D, anti-codon, and T loops). Further hydrogen bonds mediate the characteristic L-shaped molecular structure. tRNAs have two regions of fundamental functional importance: the anti-codon, which is responsible for specific mRNA codon recognition, and the 3' end, to which the tRNAs corresponding amino acid is attached (by aminoacyl-tRNA synthetases). tRNAs cope with the degeneracy of the genetic code in two manners: having more than one tRNA (with a specific anti-codon) for a particular amino acid; and 'wobble' base-pairing, i.e. permitting non-standard base-pairing at the 3rd anti-codon position.
Source: RNAcentral